Molecule: ribosomal RNA, 253 nt
Filed under: uncultured bacterium
Lineage: Bacteria
Description: partial 16S ribosomal RNA
Rfam family: Bacterial small subunit ribosomal RNA
Source: RNAcentral
UACGUAGGGACCAAGCGUUGUUCGGAUUUACUGGGCGUAAAGGGCGCGUAGGCGGCAAUUCAAGUCAUCUGUGAAAUCUCCGAGCUUAACUCGGAACGGUCAGAUGAUACUGCUUUGCUAGAGUGCAGAAGGGGCAAUCGGAAUUCUUGGUGUAGCGGUGAAAUGCGUAGAUAUCGAGAGGAACACCUGCGGCGAAGGCGGGUUGCUGGGCUGACACUGACGCUGAAGCGCGAAAGCUAGGGGAGCGAACGGG